This is a long non-coding RNA of Mauremys mutica (yellowpond turtle), 2422 nucleotides long. RefSeq lists it as uncharacterized. The transcript has 3 exons. The record is from RefSeq and is a predicted model, not a curated record. NCBI's taxonomy places the organism in Eukaryota, Metazoa, Chordata, Testudines, Geoemydidae.
GCUUCCUCUCCCUGACCCUCCACCCCCAGCAGCUCCCAGGGGAGAGGCGGCUCGGAGCAGGAAAGGUAGCCCGUGGAGUUGGUUACCCUUCAGAUCUCAGGCCCAAGCCAUGGAGACUCAUGUCCCCAUAAGAAAUCUUUUGCAUUUCCAACUCCAGCACCACACCAGGAAGAAUAUAUCUGAGGUGCCAGUUGCAUCACAGGGCAGAGCUAAGAGAGCACAGAGCCUUUCUGCAGUCUACCCAAAUCACCUGCUAAGGGGAGGAAAUCUCCAUGAUGACUCCUGUUGUGGAUUUCCUUCACCGUUACUCUGUUGGGGCUGCCCUCCCACCUCCCCGCAGAGUAAACCACGGGGCUACGCUAAACCAGGCGGCUCUGCCGGACCUCCGGGCCAGCUACUAGCAUGGCUCUAUAGGAGCUGCACUACCAGGGACUUCCCUUGCUGCAGAUGGACUGCCACAGAGGAGGCAGUAGAGCACUGGGCUGGAGAGAGAUAAUGUCUCCACCACUCCCACCCUCCUGAUUGAGCAGUCUCUACUAGUGACCCCAGGCCUGUGGCUCUCCCUGUGACUUUGGUCAAGUCUUUGAACCUCGCUGUACCUCACUUCCCUAUUCGUUAGAAUGGGGAUGACAGCACUGACCUACAGGGGGCGCCAGGAGAGGCCGUUAUGAAUAUUUAUUCCACACGUGAAGGUAACAUGCUUAAACAGUAUUUGCCUAGGGAGCUGUGGAGGGGCGGCAUUAGGGAAGCUGAGUACAAAGUAGGCAUAUUUACAGUGACACUGGGGGAAUCCCAACCCAAACCAGGGGCCACUGCACUAGGAUGGUUAAUGAUUCCUCCUGUGUGUUGCCUGUGCUGUUUGCGUUUGUACAGCACCAUCCCAUACAGCAUCUGCUGGAACACACUUUGACAUCAGAGGGAGUUUUGCCACUGACUUCAGUGAGGCCAGAGAGAUUAACUGACUCCCCCAUGGUGAUGCAGCACAUCUGUGGCAGAGGAGGAUGGCAGCUUCAGGAGUUCCAAGGCUCUCGGCUCUGAGUUCUAAACCUGCAGUCGAAGCUGCCCCUGCAUUAUAUGGAAACAGUCACACUUAUACUUAAACCAGGACGAGCCCUGGUGAUUAUUAUCUGCAUUAUAGCAGUGCCAAGAGGCCCCAUGGUGCUGGGGCCUGUACAAACAGAGUCAGACAGUCCCUGCCCCGGAAAGCUGACUACACAAUAGUGGCUGGGGGAAACAGAGGUGACGUAGGCUGGUGGCAGAGGCAGGAGUAGAACCCAGGGAUCCUGAGUCCUGGUCCCGUGCCUUAGCCACUAGACUGUGGUGCCUUAAAGGGCACUUGGUAAAUUGUUGUAAAAGUUUUUUUUUUAAAAGCUGCUCUGUUCUGACCAAGCAGCCCCUUCCCCAGUCUGAAGCACUGGCUUUGAUGGAACUGCACCAGGGCCUGAUCUGGUCCGAGCAGUAACUUGUGACGACUGAAACAUUACUGUGGAUUUAUUUAUUGUACUUUAUAGUGCACUCCACAUGGAAGCGCCCACCCCAAGCUCUCAGCAGUUACCCAGAGAUACCCCUACCCUGUCAGCAAUGUGCAGAGGGUAACCCCCCACCACAGAACCAGCCCCACAGCCCCUCAAUCUGCCCAGCCCGCAACUCCCCGUCAGCCCAGAAGAAGCACUGGGCCUUGCAGUGCAUCGUGAAGGAUAACAAACUCAGACUGGUCCAGUCCCUGGGGUGGGGGACCCUGCCAGCAGCCCCUCUUGUAUACCCCUGGAAUCUGGAUCAGGCCUUCUGCUCCCUACAGCUCACCAGGGACGGCAAACUCUCUGGCAAUCCACUCCUCCUUUACUUGCUUGCGCUGCAGAGAACCUCCCGGAGAAAGCACUCGGGCUCGACCUUCUCAAAAGGGCCUAGGGGAGUUAGGUGCUCAAAUCCAGUUGAGAGCCACUGGCAGCCUGGCGCUCCAUGCCCAUGGGGCACUUGGAAAAUCCCACCUUUGAGUCCGCUGUGGUGAUGUCUGUCAUUGGUGAAGAUGGAACCCAGAACGGAGGCCUGGCAAGUAACUAAAGGAGAAACUGAAUUUCAGACCCAUCUACCUAACACCUACACUUGCCCUCAUUCUCUUUGGGAUUUAUUUCUGAAAGUCAUCUUCACUUCUUGGAAAUAAAGGAAAUGAUGUGAGAACCUGUGUGCUGAAACCCUUGGAAUGCUGUGCCAGGAGCUUUGACAUUAUGCGUAUAAUGCCAGGCCUGCCACAUCUUCCCUCAUUGGUAUGGAAACUUCCUUAGUUGGGACUAAUUUUAAGGCAGCUUUUAAAUCUUCCCCUUUCAUGAUGUGUUUCAAUGAGACGUUUAAAAGCGCCCUCAUAAAUCUGGGAAAUUGCCCUCAUUCAGACAGGCCCUGCCUGACAGCCUUGUGAUGGUGUUUA